AAUGUGAGGACUGCGAAUGCAGGUUACUGUGAUAUAGUAAACUUUGGGUUUAGAAACCUCCACAUUA
Molecule: transfer RNA, 67 nt
Filed under: Stylochus stellae
Lineage: Eukaryota; Metazoa; Platyhelminthes; Polycladida; Stylochidae
Description: tRNA-Ile
Source: RNAcentral